UACGGAGGAUGCGAGCGUUAUCCGGAUUUAUUGGGUUUAAAGGGUGCGCAGGCGGUCUGUUAAGUCAGCGGUCAAAGCCCGGGGCUCAACCCCGGCCCGCCGUUGAAACUGGCAGUCUCGAGUUGGAGAGAAGUAUGCGGAAUGCGCGGUGUAGCGGUGAAAUGCUUAGAUAUCAUGAAGAACUCCGAUCGCGAAGGCAAGUGUCCGGGGUGCAACUGACGCUGAGGCUCGAAAGUGCGGGUAUCAAACAGG
Molecule: ribosomal RNA, 252 nt
Filed under: uncultured Bacteroidales bacterium
Lineage: Bacteria; Pseudomonadati; Bacteroidota; Bacteroidia; Bacteroidales
Description: partial 16S ribosomal RNA
Rfam family: Bacterial small subunit ribosomal RNA
Source: RNAcentral